CGUGAACCUGGUGAUGACUCUACAGGGUGGGAUAGUGACAUCUCAGCCUUACUGUUGCUGCUGUAUCUCCUGCCCCCAACUCCAAAAGGUCACAAGAAGGCAGCAAAGAUCAGCCCCCUUCAGGCAGCUGACCAUGUGGUGCGAUUUCUUAGGAUGGGAACCAGCAUUCCAAUGUUUUUGGAGAAAGUCGGAUCUGCACAGCCUUUCCUGCUCUGUAUUGGAGAAAAU
Sinocyclocheilus anshuiensis is the source of this 228-nucleotide long non-coding RNA. RefSeq lists it as uncharacterized. The transcript has 3 exons. NCBI's taxonomy places the organism in Eukaryota, Metazoa, Chordata, Actinopteri, Cypriniformes, Cyprinidae. The record is from RefSeq and is a predicted model, not a curated record.